CCUGCACGACAAUAAGAACUGCGAGGAAGGGGGAUCAGCCUUUGCAGCCGCCAAUCGGCCUUAACAGUUCCUGGGUGGAGCUACCCAUGAACAGCAGCAAUGGCAACGAGAAUGGCAAAGGGAAGAAUGGGGGUCUGGAGCACAUCCCUUCCUCAUCCUGCAUCCACAGUGGAGACAUGGAGAAGGUCCUUCUGGACACACAGCAUGAAUCAGGACAGAGCAGUUCCAGAGGCACCUCUCACUGUGACAGCCUCUCGCCGCAAGGGGACGGGCAGAUUAUGUUCGACGUGGAGAUGCACACCAGCAGGGACCACAGCUGUCAGUCAGAAGAAGAAACUGUAGAAGGAGAGAAGGAAGAGGCUUCAAAGAAAAGUGCAGAUUGGGUAUCGGACUGGUCUAGCAGACCCGAAAACAUUCCACCCAAGGAGUUCCACUUCAGACGCCCAAAGCGCUCCGUGUCUCUGAGCAUGAGGAAAAGUGGAGCCAUGAAGAACCGCGGCAUUUUCUCCGCAGAGUUUCUGAAGGCGUUCAUCCCGUCUCUCUUCCUCUCUCACACUUUGGCCUUGGGACUAGGCAUCUACAUCGAAAAACGACCGAGCACACCUUCUGCCAGCACCUACUGAGGAAGGGAGCACUGCUGGAGACAAGCGCGGCCUGUGAAGCGGUGUAUUGUCUCACAGUCUAUCUGAACUUGAAACCAUCGGAAGCAUGACCCAACCUACCACCCUGUUUUUACAAAACCAAUCCUGGUAACUCUUCGAUCAGUAUUUUAUUCAAACUCUGACGAGGCAUUCUACUAACCUUAUUCCCUUUUUG
RNA transcript from Octodon degus (degu), 816 nucleotides. It is a transcript of the gene named BCL2/adenovirus E1B 19 kDa protein-interacting protein 3-like pseudogene, with no coding region annotated. NCBI's taxonomy places the organism in Eukaryota, Metazoa, Chordata, Mammalia, Rodentia, Octodontidae. The record is from RefSeq and is a predicted model, not a curated record. The transcript has a single exon.